GACGAACGCUGGCGGCGUGCCUAAUACAUGCGAGUUGAGCGCUGAAGGUUGGUACUUGUACCAACUGGAUGAGCAGCGAACGGGUGAGUAACGCGUGGGGAAUCUGCCUUUGAGCGGGGGACAACAUUUGGAAACGAAUGCUAAUACCGCAUAACAACUUUAAACACAAGUUUUAAGUUUGAAAGAUGCAAUUGCAUCACUCAAAGAUGAUCCCGCGUUGUAUUAGCUAGGUGGUGAGGUAAAGGCUCACCAAGGCGAUGAUACAUAGCCGACCUGAGAGGGUGAUCGGCCACAUUGGGACUGAGACACGGCCCAAACUCCUACGGGAGGCAGCAGUAGGGAAUCUUCGGCAAUGGACGAAAGUCUGACCGAGCAACGCCGCGUGAGUGAAGAAGGUUUUCGGAUCGUAAAACUCUGUUGGUAGAGAAGAACGUUGGUGAGAGUGGAAAGCUCAUCAAGUGACGGUAACUACCCAGAAAGGGACGGCUAACUACGUG
RNAcentral lists this ribosomal RNA (497 nucleotides) under uncultured bacterium. Its description in RNAcentral is "partial 16S ribosomal RNA". It matches the Rfam family "Bacterial small subunit ribosomal RNA", at positions 28 to 507 of the family's 1533-position model. The record is from RNAcentral.